UGGCGGACGGGUGAGUAACGCGUGGAAAACCUGCCGUAUACUGGGGGAUAACACUUAGAAAUAGGUGCUAAUACCGCAUAAGCGCACAGCUUCGCAUGAAGCGGUGUGAAAAACUCUGGUGGUAUACGAUGGUUCCGCGUCCGAUUAGCUAGUUGGUGGGGUAAUGGCCUACCAAGGCAACGAUCAGUAGCCGGCCUGAGAGGGUGAACGGCCACAUUGGGACUGAGACACGGCCCAAACUCCUACGGGAGGCAGCAG
This 258-nucleotide ribosomal RNA is filed under the name uncultured bacterium. Its description in RNAcentral is "partial 16S ribosomal RNA". It matches the Rfam family "Bacterial small subunit ribosomal RNA", at positions 96 to 354 of the family's 1533-position model. The record is from RNAcentral.